This 469-nucleotide ribosomal RNA is filed under the name uncultured organism. RNAcentral's name for it is "partial 16S ribosomal RNA". It matches the Rfam family "Bacterial small subunit ribosomal RNA", at positions 334 to 796 of the family's 1533-position model. The record is from RNAcentral.
CACUCCUACGGGAGGCAGCAGUGGGGAAUUUUGGACAAUGGGCGAAAGCCUGAUCCAGCAAUGCCGCGUGAGUGAAGAAGGCCUUCGGGUUGUAAAGCUCUUUUGUCAGGGAAGAAACGGUGAAAGCUAAUAUCUUUUGCUAAUGACGGUACCUGAAGAAUAAGCACCGGCUAACUACGUGCCAGCAGCCGCGGUAAUACGUAGGGUGCAAGCGUUAAUCGGAAUUACUGGGCGUAAAGCGUGCGCAGGCGGUUUUGUAAGUCUGAUGUGAAAUCCCCGGGCUCAACCUGGGAAUUGCAUUGGAGACUGCAAGGCUAGAAUCUGGCAGAGGGGGGUAGAAUUCCACGUGUAGCAGUGAAAUGCGUAGAUAUGUGGAGGAACACCGAUGGCGAAGGCAGCCCCCUGGGUCAAGAUUGACGCUCAUGCACGAAAGCGUGGGGAGCAAACAGGAUUAGAAACCCUGUAGUCC